Molecule: ribosomal RNA, 485 nt
Filed under: uncultured bacterium
Lineage: Bacteria
Description: partial 16S ribosomal RNA
Rfam family: Bacterial small subunit ribosomal RNA
Source: RNAcentral
AGUGAACGCUGGCGGCGUGCUUAACACAUGCAAGUCGAACGAGAACGGAAUAUAGCUUGCUAUAUUUGUCAGCUAAGUGGCGCACGGGUGAGUAAUGUAUAGAUAACCUGCCCUUAAGAAAGGAAUAACAGUUGGAAACGACUGCUAAUGCCCUAUAUGCCUUUAAUACAUAAGCAUGCAAGGGAAACGCUUUAGUGCUUAAGGAUGGGUCUGUAUGGUAUCAGCUUGUUGGUGAGGUAAUGGCUCACCAAGGCUAUGACGCCUAACUGGUUUGAGAGGAUGAUCAGUCACACUGGAACUGAGACACGGUCCAGACUCCUACGGGAGGCAGCAGUGGGGAAUAUUGCACAAUGGACGAAAGUCUGAUGCAGCAACGCCGCGUGGAGGAUGACACAUUUCGGAGCGUAAACUCCUUUUAUAUAGGAAGAUAAUGACGGUACUAUAUGAAUAAGCACCGGCUAACUCCGUGCCAGCCGCCGCGGUAA